RNAcentral lists this ribosomal RNA (270 nucleotides) under uncultured Pseudomonadota bacterium. RNAcentral's name for it is "uncultured proteobacterium partial 16S ribosomal RNA". It matches the Rfam family "Bacterial small subunit ribosomal RNA", at positions 59 to 358 of the family's 1533-position model. Lineage: Bacteria; Pseudomonadati; Pseudomonadota. The record is from RNAcentral.
AAGUCGAACGCCCCGCAAGGGGAGUGGCAGACGGGUUACUCCCACGUGGGAAUCUACCCAGUUCUACGGAACAACUGAGGGAAACAGCAGCUAAUACCGUAUACGCCCUACGGGGGAAAGAUUUAUCGGAAUUGGACGAGCCCGCGUUGGAUUAGCUAGUUGGUGAGGUAACGGCCUACCAAGGCGACGAUCCGUAGCUGGUCUGAGAGGACGACCAGCCACACUGGGACUGAGACACGGCCCAGCACUCCUACUGGAGGCAGCAAUGGG